This 164-nucleotide small nuclear RNA is filed under the name Salvator merianae (Argentine black and white tegu). RNAcentral's name for it is "U1 spliceosomal RNA (ENSSMRG00000016033.1)". It matches the Rfam family "U1 spliceosomal RNA". Rfam says of the family: U1 is a small nuclear RNA (snRNA) component of the spliceosome (involved in pre-mRNA splicing). Its 5' end forms complementary base pairs with the 5' splice junction, thus defining the 5' donor site of an intron. Lineage: Eukaryota; Metazoa; Chordata; Lepidosauria; Squamata; Teiidae. The record is from Rfam by way of RNAcentral.
UGACUAUACUGGCAGGGGAGACACCAUGAUCUUGAAGGUGGUUUUCCCAGGGUGAGGUUCAUCCAUUGCACUCUGGGUGUGCUGAUGCCUGUGAUUUCCCCAAAUGCAGGAAACUCCACUGCAUAAUUUAUGGUAGUGGGGGACUGCAUUCGCGCUUUCCCCUG